GUGGCGGCUCAUCGCUGCUCCGCGGCUCCGGGCUGUCCCCCCGCGCGGCUCCCGCGGCCUCGGCGGCGGCUGCAGUUGCUGAGGCAGCGCCCCCCUGGGGGCCCCGCAGGUGCACGGGCAGCAGCUGGGCGCGCGCCACUGCACAGGGAGAGCCGAGGACACGCCGGGCGCUCCGCUCGCUCUGCAACCCGAGGCUCCAGUGCCAGCCUCCUGCAGCCCGAGGCUCUCUAUUAAUACUCGGCGUGCAGCUGGCUGCAUGCCAUCGGCUUGACCCGCGGCCAGGGGCCCUCUGCCCUCGCUGGGGAGGGCUGGGGAACAGGCUUUAGGGGCGUGGGUGAUUCGACUGGGUGGAAUCAGGCAGACGACUGCCCCAGCGGCCCUCCCGAGCCAGCCAGGUGGCUCAUUUCUUCAGCUGAGCCAUGCAGGCUUUCAUAUCAGGGUCUGCUGUUCAAUUGAGAAAAUUGUAGAACAGCUCCUCCUGCCCAGUAUUCUCAUCAUGGGGUGAUCCUCGUUGCAAGCUGCAAGCGCUUGGAGACUACCUUUCAGAAGAACAGAAGCUUAACCCAGGUGGCCACUUGUCAAGGAGCUGAUCCAUCUGGGUGAAUCUCUCUUCUAUCCCUAAUAGUUCAUGGUCUAUGGGGGAACAAUCAGCAUGGCGUUUGAAUGCUUUCACAGUGUACUGGGAAGAAGUUGCGUCCACUUGUGAGUUCCGGCAGGAGAGGCGUGAAUAACAUUUCACUUUCUCCUUGGAAAAAUAGAAGAGAGAGCGGUCAGGUUGACAUGGGAAUGGUCAAACAGGGCCAAGCCAUAAAAUGCAACAGGUCUAAUUUACACUUGACUGUGAACAGCCGGCUAGGAGUUGCUGCUGGGU
Long non-coding RNA from Canis lupus familiaris (dog), 871 nucleotides. RefSeq lists it as uncharacterized. NCBI's taxonomy places the organism in Eukaryota, Metazoa, Chordata, Mammalia, Carnivora, Canidae. The record is from RefSeq and is a predicted model, not a curated record. The transcript is spliced from 3 exons.